GCCCUUAUGGCUGUCGUCAGCUCGUGUCGUGAGAUGUUGGGUUAAGUCCCGCAACGAGCGCAACCCUUGUCAUUAAUUGCCAUCAUUUAGUUGGGCACUUUAAUGAGACUGCCGGUGACAAACCGGAGGAAGGUGGGGAUGACGUCAAGUCCUCAUGGCCCUUAUGGGUAGGGCUUCACACGUAAUACAAUGGCGCGUACAGAGGGUUGCCAACCCGCGAGGGGGAGCCAAUCUCAGAAAGCGCGUCGUAGUCCGGAUCGGAGUCUGCAACUCGACUCCGUGAAGUCGGAAUCGCUAGUAAUCGCGGAUCAGCAUGUCGCGGUGAAUACGUUCCCGGGUCUU
This 342-nucleotide ribosomal RNA is filed under the name uncultured Nitrosomonas sp. RNAcentral's name for it is "bacterial SSU rRNA". It matches the Rfam family "Bacterial small subunit ribosomal RNA", at positions 1040 to 1382 of the family's 1533-position model. The record is from RNAcentral. Lineage: Bacteria; Pseudomonadati; Pseudomonadota; Betaproteobacteria; Nitrosomonadales; Nitrosomonadaceae.